UUGGCAACAGCGCCAAACAUUCCGUCCGUUUCAUUCAGUUUGAAGAAUAGUGCUGAAGGGAAGCCAACGUUGUGGAUAGGCUUAUGGCUUACAUUUUAUGACUGGUUGGAAAAAUGAAAUUUGUGUUUGUUAUCUGUUGACAAAUUUUUGCUAGUGAUUCCCAGUGACUUAGAUAGCUCAAGUUCAGUUCGUAAAAAUAAGAUUGGAGUUUUUCGUCGAUGAUUGACUUUUUGAUAAUUUCCAGGAUUUAUUGUGAUUUUGAUUACAUACUAAUUAAAAAUGUAAUUAAAUGACUUAUCAACUUCUACGAUAGAAGAAGAUGGAUUUGGCUUCAACUCCUGUGAUUAAAACUGACCAGACAAGGAGUAACCCCGGGGCGCCAACUGCCGCCAUGCUGAAGAAUGUGCCUUCUCAGCAGGGCCGGUUCAUCACCAGUCUCCAGCAGAGCAAUGCCCCUCCGGCAUUGUCAUCAGUAACUCCUGGAAUAAGCCAAGCUUCUGUUACCAAACAGGCAAUGAACUCUGUGAGUCGUUUGACAGCACUUCCGGUGCAUUCUUCUUCAACUUCCUCAACGUAUCAUGUUCCAAGAGGCGCCGCGGCCGUAGCUAACAUUGCAGUGCCAAGAUCGUCCUUAGCCACGCCCAUUCGAGGGCCUUCAACCAAUCUGCAAUCUCUUGGUGUAGCCGCUUCAAAUAAUUCAACUAUUGUGCGGCACUCAACGCCUCAGCAUAGUGGCACAAUAGGAGUGCGGCCCCCGCAGCAGCACAUGGUGGGCGGGGGUGGGGGCGGCAGUGCGCCCCCCUCUACAUGGCUCAGCAACAACUCAUCGCAGGCCUCAGCACCCUCCCGCUCCGUGCCCCUCCCUACCACCACCGCCACGCAUUUCAAUCGUGCCACGACCAUCGGUGUGACAAGACUCACAACACCACUGGCCACUGGGAGAGUAGUGACGGACAGCCUAUCGAGGCCUGUUCUCUUGCAGACGGCACCUCAUAAACACAUCAACAUUUCGAAUAUCAAUCAACAAGCACAGAUGCACAUAAACGACAAGACAUUCCUGAAGACGACGGGCGUUCGGCCGCAGACGGCGGUGAUUGGAGGGGGCAGCCGAGUGGCCGGGGGGCCGAUUUCCGCCUCCGCCUCCUCCCUUAACAGGAUAACCGCCUCCGCGUCCGCCACCCCGGCGACAGUCGUAUCGCUGCACCCCAACACCGUUCUUGUACAAACUCCCUCUGUGCCUCACACCAAACCUGCAAGUCACCACCAGCCACCUAAGUUUGUGGCGCAGUCGCCGCACAUCCAGAUGCAGACUGUGGUGAACUCGAUCGGCAGCAGCACGCAACCUUCACUGACAACUGUCAGCAAGCCGCCGAUUGCGUUCGUGGCCGCAGGCGGCAGCGGUAGCGGCACGAGGCCGCCCGCACUGCACGGCAUUGCCAACGCAGCCGCAGCCGCAGCCUGUCCCAAAGUAUUAGCAUCCGUCGAGCCGUCGCCGUCCGCGGCGCCCGCCGCCGCCAUCUUUGCUGUGCAGCAGACUGCGCACAAGCCACCGGUGUCUUCGGUAACAGUGCCGACAGUGGGUGGUGUUUCUUUGUCGUCGAAUACGGGGGUGGGUAGCGGUGGAGGUCCGCAGCCAGGGGGUGGCGCCGCAGCCGCCCAGUUUGAGCCGCAGCCGCAGCUGCGUGCAGUCGCAGCCGCAACCACCUCUGCAGCCACGCAGCCCACGCAUGCGCAGCACACGCACACGCCAAUCACCUGUCGACCGGCUUCCAGUAUUGUUACAAAUAGUCAACCUACAGUAAGAUAUAAUCCAGUUAUGGUUGUGGAUCACAAUAGACAAGCUUCUUUACACCAUUUUGUCAACAAUCCGCCUUCUGAAGCAGCAGCAGCAGCAGCAGCAGCGAAUAAUCAGCAGACAGCUGAGGGUUCAUCAACAACAUCAUCAUCAUCUUCAUCAGUACCUGUAUCUACGACCUCUCUCUUACAAACUCCAACCAAACCAAAUGCUUCUCCAAGACCAAGUAUACUUAGAAAGAGAGAGUCUGAAGGUACGCCGCUGAAAGCGCAGAAGAACCUGACGCCGCUGCUGACGUCACUAUCCUCAGCGUCGGUGCCGCCCCCGCCCUGUAGCAGCGUUUCGCCGCCGCCCCCGCGACCCGAGUCGAGAGGCGGCAGCGGAGGCGGCAACGGAGGCGGCCUGUCAUCGGGUGGCUCCACCACCAUCUCUGCCACCUCCUCGCCCGGGCUAGCGGUGGGAGACCGCGAUUCGCCGCCCCCGGGUCUGCCUCCGAGUCUGCCUCUGCCCCCGAGUCUGUCCCUGCUCGCCAAGCAGGACGGCAUCCAGCCGGAGCCGCCGCCCCUCGAGAUGAGUCCCCGCAAGAAGCCCAGGAAACAACAACUAAAAGUAUGGAGCAUGUGUGGGGCUGCUAGACAACGACUCACGCACGCGCGUAUGCGAGCACACGCAACUCAAUUAUUUGAACUGGUAAUCAAAUGCAUGAGCCAAAACAGGUGGAAAUGGAGUUCAUAUCCGAAGAAAAACUACGAAAGGAAUCCAAAGACGGUGACCUAGGCGACAUGUCUCCAUCAGAACAUAUGACGCCGAAGGUGGGACUUCAUCACCAUCACCAGCAGCAUCAGCAGAAACGACGCAACAUCUCGCUGCUGAGCGGCUACAGGCAGCCGUGGAAGUCGCGGCAUCACCACUUCCUGCGCUACACCGAUGUGAGGCCCAAGGAGGAGCGGCGACCCACCAUCAACGAGAUCGCCAGCCAGAAGAUGGUCCAGCAGAAGGCCAACGGCUGGAAGCUGUACCAUAUCGGCACGCAGAUGCAGUGUCUGUCUGAUUUGGAAACCGAAGUCUUGGAGAAGCUGACAGAUAUGUUGAAAGUUCUGGAGAGAAAACCUGGAAAGGAGCUCGACAAAGACAUCAAUAGAGUGAACGAAUUAAUCAAGGGCAAUAUUCAACGCUGUAAAGUAAUCAAAGAUCAAAUGCAAGAAGCAAAAUCUCAGGUAAUGAAGAUGUUCGAUCACAAAGGUCAUGUGUUAGAGAUCCUCACUCGUUGUUCCAGUAAACGUUCUGUGAAAAAAAGAGAUAGAAUGUGAACCUGUGCGUAUGUGAAAGUGAGAAGGACUUACUGUUUGAUAUUGUGUAAUUAUUUGUAUUGAUUUGCAUACAAUUCGACAAAAAGAAUCUUAAAAGUCGUGUCAAUGUACAGACAUUGGUGACAUCGGCUUUUCAGAUUCUUUGACAUUUGGUAUUUAGUGUAAAGGGUUUAGUAGCAGGAAUUUUCUACAAAAAUUGUAAAGUAACUCAUUGAAUUGUCUGUAAAAAUGUGUAAAUAGUUGCUAUGAAAUAAUUGUAAAUUUUAUUAUAUCUUUUCUAAAUGUACAAAUAGGUCGUGAACGUUAUAAUGAUCUGCACAGUUGAGAUAAGUACAAUCAAGUGUUGAUGGAUUUUGAGUCAUAUCAGUUAGUUCUUCCGGUGCUGUUCUCAGUUCAUUUUGGAUGAUCGGUGGCUCUAUCUCAAACUCAUUCUAUCCAUCCUCUGAACCUCAAUGCAGAGUGGCUGGUCCUUUUCGUUUCAUGAGUAGAAAUUAUUGUUUUCAUUGAUAUUAUAAAUGCUUUCACGGAAUCCUCAUUGGUUAGCAACUGGUUGUUAUAAUAUUAUUAUUGGUUCUAUUCUGAGCAAAUCACAGCUUUAAAACUUGUGAAUCGAAUCCCAAUAAUUUGAACGAGAUUGGUUGCAUUCUAAAUGUUGACUGCUUGGCACAUUCCAAGAUACGAAUGAAUGAGGUUUAUUACUUCAGAGAUGUGGUCUCGAUGACUUUUAACAGAUCCCUUCUAAAAGGGAAUAGUUUAUACUGAAAUUUAUAAAUGAUGAUAUUAUUUUCUCUGUAAUAUUAUAAGCAAUCAACAACAAUAUCUUAGAACAUUCGUGCAAAUUAAUAACGGAAUCUCUGUUAUUUAUUCAUGUAUUUAUUAAAAUUCUAUUUAAUAAAAUAGAAUAUAAUUAA
RNAcentral lists this unclassified non-coding RNA (4016 nucleotides) under Nilaparvata lugens (brown planthopper). Its description in RNAcentral is "histone deacetylase complex subunit SAP130, transcript variant X3". The record is from RNAcentral. Lineage: Eukaryota; Metazoa; Arthropoda; Insecta; Hemiptera; Delphacidae.